Molecule: ribosomal RNA, 912 nt
Filed under: uncultured archaeon
Lineage: Archaea
Description: bacterial SSU rRNA
Rfam family: Archaeal small subunit ribosomal RNA
Source: RNAcentral
UUCCGGUUGAUCCUGCCGGAGGCUACCGCUAUUGGAGUUCGAUUAAGCCAUGCGAGUCUAGAGGCCUAGCCUCGGCGUACCGCGCAGUAACACGUGGGUAACCUACCCUAUGCUGGGGGAUAAGCUCGGGAAACUGAGAAUAAUACCCCAUAGUCCACUACGCCUGGAACGGUGAGUGGAUCAAAGCUCCGGCGGCAUAGGAUGGGCCUGCGGCGUAUCAGGUUGUAGGGGGUGUAAUGUACCCUCUAGCCAUCUACGCGUACGGGUGUUGGGAGACAUUGCCCGGAGAUGGAUUCUGAGACACGAAUCCAGACCCUACGGGGUGCAGCAGGCGCGAAAACUUGGCAAUGCGAGAAAUCGUGACCAGGGAACUCCAAGUGGCAGGGGUAAGACCCUGUCUUUUUCCGACUCUAAAUAGGUCUUGGAAUAAGGGGUGGGUAAGGACGGUGCCAGCCGCCGCGGUAAUACCGGCGCCUCAAGUGGUAGUCGCUUUUAUUGGGCCUAAAACGUCCGUAGCCGGUCUGAUACAUUCGUGGGUAAAUCAACCAGCUCAACUGGUUGAAUUCUGCGAGGACGGUCAGACUUGGGACCGGGAGAGGUGUGGGGUACGCUCAGGGUAGGGGUAAAAUCCUGUCAUCCUGAGCGGACCACCUGUUGCGAAGGCGCCACACUAGAACGGAUCCGACGGUCAGGGACGAAGCCUAGGGGCACGAACCGGAUUAGAUACCCGGGUAGUCCUAGGUGUAAACGCUGUGGACUUGAUGUUGGGGGUGCUCCGAGCACUCUCAGUGUCGAAGCGAAGGUGAUAAGUCCACUGCCUGGGAAGUACGGUCGCAAGGCUGAAACUUAAAGGAAUUGGCGGGGGAGCACCGCAACCUGAGGAUUGUGCGGUUUAAUUGGAUCAACGCCGGA